Molecule: ribosomal RNA, 450 nt
Filed under: uncultured bacterium
Lineage: Bacteria
Description: bacterial SSU rRNA
Rfam family: Bacterial small subunit ribosomal RNA
Source: RNAcentral
GUGGGGAAUAUUGGACAAUGGGCGAAAGCCUGAUCCAGCCAUGCCGCGUGUGUGAAGAAGGUCUUCGGAUCGUAAAGCACUUUAAGUUGGGAGGAAGGGCAGUAAGUUAAUACCUUGCUGUUUUGACGUUACCGACAGAAUAAGCACCGGCUAACUUCGUGCCAGCAGCCGCGGUAAUACGAAGGGUGCAAGCGUUAAUCGGAAUUACUGGGCGUAAAGCGCGCGUAGGUGGUUCAGCAAGUUGAAGGUGAAUUCCCCGGGCUCAACCUGGGAACUGCCUCCAAAACUACUGAGCUAGAGUACGGUAGAGGGUAGUGGAAUUUCCUGUGUAGCGGUGAAAUGCGUAGAUAUAGGAAGGAACACCAGUGGCGAAGGCGACUACCUGGACUGAUACUGACACUGAGGUGCGAAAGCGUGGGGAGCAAACAGGAUUAGAAACCCGAGUAGUCC